Glycine soja is the source of this 619-nucleotide long non-coding RNA. RefSeq lists it as uncharacterized. The record is from RefSeq and is a predicted model, not a curated record. Lineage: Eukaryota; Viridiplantae; Streptophyta; Magnoliopsida; Fabales; Fabaceae. The transcript has 2 exons.
AUAACCCAUCUCGUUAUUUGCUUCUGUUUUAUCUCUGCUUUAUAUGUUUUCUCCCUCUACCUCUAAAUAAUUUGUAAGAUCACAUCCAAUAUCCCAUUUGAUAGAUUCUGAUCCAAAGGAAACCGGCAAGUCCAUUUGAGAAGUGAAACAGUGUUCCAUUGAAUUCAAUGUAAUCCAUGAAAGCAUAUUCAUUUUGCAUUGCAAAGCUUUUAAAAUUAUGAUUCAAGAUGAAAAUGUCACUGGUUCGGCCUCUCUUUACCAGGCGAGGAUUCAGCACAAGCUCCGACAACCUUGUUGCUUCUGUGCUCUUUGAGAGAUUGCCACUGGUCAUUGAUACUUGUGAUCUCUUGCUUUUGUUUCCCACAAAAUUGAUUAUAUUACUGCUCCAUAGUUACAUUAGAGAGUUGAAACAAAGGCAAAUAUGUUAAGUUUGAAGGAAACAUGAUUGACUUUUGAGAAGCCCAGUUUUAAUGAGUUUUGGGUUACUAGUAUAUAUUAAAGGGUUGCAAUCAAUUACGCGAACAAUGUAACAAAUCAAAUUAUUUUUUGAUGAGGUGGCAAACUUAGGUUAGUGUAGAACAUACAAAAUGAACGAUUUCCCUGGAUAUUUGAGAGACCA